GAUGGAUUGGUGCCUUCGGGAACUGUGAGACAGGUGCUGCAUGGCUGUCGUCAGCUCGUGUUGUGAAAUGUUGGGUUAAGUCCCGCAACGAGCGCAACCCUUAUCCUUUGUUGCCAGCGGUUAGGCCGGGAACUCAAAGGAGACUGCAGUGAUAAACUGGAGGAAGUGGGAUGACGUCAAGUCAUCAUGGCCCUUACGACCAGGGCUACACACGUGCUACAAUGGCAUAUACAAAGAGAAGCGACCUCGCGAGAGCAAGCGGACCUCAUAAAGUAUGUCGUAGUCCGGAUUGGAGUCUGCAACUCGACUCCAUGAAGUCGGAAUCGCUAGUAAUCGUAGAUCAGAAUGCUACGGUGAAUACGUUCCCGGGCCUUGUACACACCGCCCGUCACACCAUGGGAGUGGGUUGCAAA
RNAcentral lists this ribosomal RNA (413 nucleotides) under Klebsiella pneumoniae. Its description in RNAcentral is "bacterial SSU rRNA". It matches the Rfam family "Bacterial small subunit ribosomal RNA", at positions 1005 to 1421 of the family's 1533-position model. The record is from RNAcentral. Lineage: Bacteria; Pseudomonadati; Pseudomonadota; Gammaproteobacteria; Enterobacterales; Enterobacteriaceae.